RNAcentral lists this long non-coding RNA (155 nucleotides) under Oryctolagus cuniculus (rabbit). RNAcentral's name for it is "lncRNA (ENSOCUG00000030249.1)". Lineage: Eukaryota; Metazoa; Chordata; Mammalia; Lagomorpha; Leporidae. The record is from RNAcentral.
AUGACUUUCCAAUUAGAGUAUCCCAAUCUACUUUCCAAUCUACAGUGUACAAGCCAUUUGCCACAAUAUCUAGAGGAACCUGAAAACAUUAUUCCAAAUGAAGACACUUAUGAGAAAAUAAAAGAGUGGUUACUAGAGGAUUAUUGAGCUAUGUA